This 253-nucleotide ribosomal RNA is filed under the name uncultured bacterium. RNAcentral describes it as "partial 16S ribosomal RNA". It matches the Rfam family "Bacterial small subunit ribosomal RNA", at positions 524 to 776 of the family's 1533-position model. The record is from RNAcentral.
UACGGGGGGGGCAAGCGUUGUUCGGAAUUACUGGGCGUAAAGGGCUCGUAGGUGGCCAACUAAGUCAGACGUGAAAUCCCUCGGCUUAACCGGGGAACUGCGUCUGAUACUGGAUGGCUUGAGGUUGGGAGAGGGAUGCGGAAUUCCAGGUGUAGCGGUGAAAUGCGUAGAUAUCUGGAGGAACACCGGUGGCGAAGGCGGUCAGCUGGUCCGUUACUGACACUAAAGCACGAAAGCGUGGGUAGCAAACAGG